RNAcentral lists this transfer RNA (71 nucleotides) under Insectozyma bohioensis. Its description in RNAcentral is "Candida bohioensis tRNA-Lys". It matches the Rfam family "tRNA". From Rfam's summary of the family: Transfer RNA (tRNA) molecules are approximately 80 nucleotides in length. Their secondary structure includes four short double-helical elements and three loops (D, anti-codon, and T loops). Further hydrogen bonds mediate the characteristic L-shaped molecular structure. tRNAs have two regions of fundamental functional importance: the anti-codon, which is responsible for specific mRNA codon recognition, and the 3' end, to which the tRNAs corresponding amino acid is attached (by aminoacyl-tRNA synthetases). tRNAs cope with the degeneracy of the genetic code in two manners: having more than one tRNA (with a specific anti-codon) for a particular amino acid; and 'wobble' base-pairing, i.e. permitting non-standard base-pairing at the 3rd anti-codon position. Lineage: Eukaryota; Fungi; Ascomycota; Pichiomycetes; Serinales; Debaryomycetaceae. The record is from RNAcentral.
GAGUAUGUCGUCUAAUGGUAAGACAAGAGUCUUUUAACCUCUUCAUGUUGGUUCGAUUCCAACCUUACUCA